RNAcentral lists this ribosomal RNA (460 nucleotides) under uncultured bacterium. Its description in RNAcentral is "partial 16S ribosomal RNA". It matches the Rfam family "Bacterial small subunit ribosomal RNA", at positions 338 to 795 of the family's 1533-position model. The record is from RNAcentral.
CCUACGGGGAGCUGCAGUGAGGACUAUUGGUCAAUGGGCGUAAGCCUGAACCAGCCAAGUCGCGUGAGGGCUGAAGGUUCUAUGGAUCGUAAACCUCUUUUAUAAGGGAAUAAAGUGUGGGACGUGUCCUAUUUUGUAUGUACCUUAUGAAUAAGGAUCGGCUAACUCCGUGCCAGCAGCCGCGGUAAUACUGAGGAUCCGAGCGUUAUCCGGAUUUAUUGGGUUUAAAGGGUGCGUAGGCGGCCUUUUAAGUCAGCGGUGAAAGUCUGUGGCUCAACCAUAGAAUUGCCGUUGAAACUGGGGGGCUUGAGUAUGUUUGAGGCAGGCGGAAUGUGUGGUGGAGCGGUGAAAUGCUUAGAUAUCACGCAGAACACCGAUUGCGAAGGCAGACUGACAAGCCAUGACUGACGCUGAUGCACGAAAGCGUGGGGAUCAAACAGGAUUAGAUACCCUGGUAGUC